UCCGGUCCGGCCACAGAGGCAGCGCAGUGGCGGGACUCCGAACCUACCCCGCCUAGUGAGCCGCGCCGCGCCACCCCACCCGGCACCCACCAGUCCGACUGGGCAGCAGCGGCGGCUGUCCCCUGCCGAGGCCGCCCUGCUCUGGGGCUUCCUGCUUCCCCUGACAGCCACUCAGGAAGCAAUCUUGCAUGCGUCUGGAAAUGGCACAUCCAAGGACUACUGCAUGCUUUAUAACCCCCAUUGGUCAGCUCUUCCAAAUACCCUAGAAAAUGCAACUUACAUUAGUUUGAUGAAUCUGACUUCCACACCACUAUGCAACCUUUCUGAUGUUCCUCUUGUUGGCGUAAAUUAGAACAAAGCAGUUGUGGUGCAAUGGGGAAGCUGACAUUUUCUUGAAAACACCGGAAUUGAACAGAAAAGAGGUGCUGAAGCAAUGUUAGUUGUCAAUAACAGUAUCCUAUUUCCUACCUCAGGUAACAGAUCUGAAUUUCCUGAUGUGAAAAUGCUGAUUGCAUUUAUAAGCCACAAAGACUUUAAAGAUAUGAAGCAGACUCUAGGAAAUAACAUUACUGUGAAAAAUGUAUUCUCCAUCGUGGCCUAACUUUGAUUAUACUAUGGUGGUUAUUUUUGUAAUUGCUGUGCUCACUGUGGCAUUAGGUGGGUACUGGAGUGGACUAGUUGAAUUGGAAACUUGAAAGCAGUGACAACUGAAGAUAGAGAAACGAGGGGAAAAAAAGGAAGAAUAUCUAACUUUUAUCCUCUUACAGUUGUAAUAUUUGUGGUCAUGUGCUGUGUUAUGAUGGUCUUACUUUAUUUCUUCUACAAAUGGUUAAUUUAUGUUAUGAUAGCAAUUUUCUGCAUAACAUCAGCAAUGAGUCUGUACAACUCUCUUGCGGCACUAAUUCAUAAGACACCAUAUGGACAAUGCACGAUUGUGUGUCGUGGCAAAAGCAUGGACAUGAGACUUAUUUUUCUCUCUGGACUAUGAAUAGCAAUAGUUAUUGUUUGGGCUGUGUUUCGAAAUGAAGACAGGUGGGCUUGGAUUUUACAAGAUACCUUGGGGAUUGCUUUCUGUCUGAAUUUAAUUAAAACACUGAAGUUGCCCAGCUUCAAGUCAUGUGUGAUACUUCUAGGCCUCCUCCUCCUCUAUGAUGUAUUUUUUGUUUUCAUAACACCAUUCAUCACAAAGAAUGGUGAGAGUAGCAUGGUUGAACUUGCAGCUGGACUUUUUGGAAAUACUGAAACAUUGCCAGUAGUCAUCAGAGUACCAAAGCUGAUCUGUUUCUCAGUAAUGAGUGUGUGCAUCAUGCCUGUUUCAAUAUUGGGUUUUGGAGACAGUACAGGCCUGUUGAUUGCCUACUGUAGAAGAGUUGAUGUUCACACUGGUUCUUCUUAUAUAGACUAUGUUUCCUCUACGGCAGCCUAUGCUAUUGGCAUGAUACUUACAUUUGUUGUUCUGGUGCUGAUGAAAAAGGGGCAACCUGCUCUCCUCUAUUUAGUACCUUGCACGCUUAUUACUGCCUCAGUUGUUGCCUGGAAACGUAAGGAAAUGAAAAAGUUCUGGAAAGGUAACAGCUAUCAGAUGAUGGACCAUUUGGAUUAUGCAACAAAUGAUGUCUGGUGAACAGAUUGUCCUGCGAUAAUAUUACGUGGAAUGCUAUAAUGUGUCAUUGAUUUUCUACAAAUAGACUUUGACUUUUUAAAUUGAUUUUUGAAUUGACAAUCUGAAAGUCUUCAAUGAUAUGUUUGCAUAUAUAUAUUUUUAUGAGCUGGUACUGACAGUUACAUAAUGUUAAAGUUGUGCCUUCAAAUUAAAUAAAAGGAUAUGGUAUGUGUAGUUUCCAAGAUGUUUUACAUACAGUAUAUUUUUCUAAAAAGAAAAACAAACAAACAAACCAAAAAACAUGCUGUGACCCACCCCUAUACUUUUUUACUGAAAUGUUUCUUCCAACUGUAAUGGUAGAUAAAAGUAUUACUAUCAAAGUGAGUUUCUGAAUGGCUUUUACUGUAAAGAAUUAUGCAAAUUUUAUCUGCUUUAUAGAAAUAACUGUUUAAGACCACGCAAGAAGGCGGUUCAACAGUGAAAAUUUGGACCUUAUAUCACUGCAGAGGUUAGAAAUGUAUAAUUUUGGAAUAAAUAUAAGUGCAUAUUUUUGUA
Molecule: RNA transcript, 2158 nt
Organism: Cercocebus atys (sooty mangabey)
Lineage: Eukaryota; Metazoa; Chordata; Mammalia; Primates; Cercopithecidae
Gene name: signal peptide peptidase-like 2A pseudogene
Exons: 1
Source: RefSeq, a predicted model, not a curated record